UACGAAGGGUGCAAACGUUGCUCGGAAUUAUUGGGCGUAAAGAGCUCGUAGGCGGUUUGUCGCGUCUGCUGUGAAAACCUAAGGCUCAACCUUGGGCUUGCAGUGGGUACGGGCAGACUAGAGUGCGGUAGGGGUGACUGGAAUUCCUGGUGUAGCGGUGAAAUGCGCAGAUAUCAGGAGGAACACCGGUGGCGAAGGCGGGUCUCUGGGCCGUAACUGACGCUGAGGAGCGAAAGCGUGGGGAGCGAACAGG
RNAcentral lists this ribosomal RNA (253 nucleotides) under uncultured bacterium. RNAcentral's name for it is "partial 16S ribosomal RNA". It matches the Rfam family "Bacterial small subunit ribosomal RNA", at positions 524 to 776 of the family's 1533-position model. The record is from RNAcentral.